This 377-nucleotide ribosomal RNA is filed under the name Kryptoperidinium foliaceum. RNAcentral's name for it is "partial Bacterial small subunit ribosomal RNA". It matches the Rfam family "Bacterial small subunit ribosomal RNA", at positions 1151 to 1527 of the family's 1533-position model. Lineage: Eukaryota; Dinophyceae; Peridiniales; Kryptoperidiniaceae. The record is from RNAcentral.
GCCGGUUAUAAACCGGAGGAAGGCGGGGAUGACGUCAAGUCAGCAUGCCCCUUACACCCUGGGCUACACACGUGCUACAAUGGGUGAGACAAUGAGAUGCAACUCUGCGAAGACAAGCUAAUCUAUAAACUCACUCUAAGUUCGGAUUGUAGGCUGCAACUCGCCUGCAUGAAGUUGGAAUCGCUAGUAAUCGCUGGUCAGCUAUACAGCGGUGAAUUCGUUCCCGGGCCUUGUACACACCGCCCGUCACACCAUGGAAGCUGGUUAUGCCCGAAGUCGUUACUCUAACCUUUUUGGAGGAGGAUGCCUAAGGUAGAAUUAGUGACUGGGGUGAAGUCGGAACAAGGUAACCGUACUGAAGGUGCGGUUGGAUCACC